RNAcentral lists this ribosomal RNA (497 nucleotides) under uncultured bacterium. Its description in RNAcentral is "partial 16S ribosomal RNA". It matches the Rfam family "Bacterial small subunit ribosomal RNA", at positions 28 to 507 of the family's 1533-position model. The record is from RNAcentral.
GACGAACGCUGGCGGCGUGCCUAAUACAUGCAAGUUGAGCGCUGAAGGUUGGUACUUGUACCAACUGGAUGAGCAGCGAACGGGUGAGUAACGCGUGGGGAAUCUGCCUUUGAGCGGGGGACAACAUUUGGAAACGAAUGCUAAUACCGCAUAAAAACUUUAAACACAAGUUUUAAGUUUGAAAGAUGCAAUUGCAUCACUCAAAGAUGAUCCCGCGUUGUAUUAGCUAGUUGGUGAGGUAAAGGCUCACCAAGGCGAUGAUACGUAGCCGACCUGAGAGGGUGAUCGGCCACAUUGGGACUGAGACACGGCCCAAACUCCUACGGGAGGCAGCAGUAGGGAAUCUUCGGCAAUAGACGAAAGUCUGACCGAGCAACGCCGCGUGAGUGAAGAAGGUUUUCGGAUCGUAAAACCCUGUUGGUAGAGAAGAACGUUGGUGAGAGUGGAAAGCUCAUCAAGUGACGGUAACUACCCAGAAAGGGACGGCUAACUACGUG